RNAcentral lists this ribosomal RNA (102 nucleotides) under Lupinus angustifolius (narrow-leaved blue lupine). RNAcentral describes it as "rRNA SSU_rRNA_eukarya". Lineage: Eukaryota; Viridiplantae; Streptophyta; Magnoliopsida; Fabales; Fabaceae. The record is from Rfam by way of RNAcentral.
ACUGAUGUAUUCAACGAGUCUAUAGCCUUGGUUGACAGGCUCGGGUAAUCUUUGAAAUUUCGUCGUGAUGGGGAUAUAUCAUUGCAAUUUUUAGUCUUCAAC